UUGGUUAAGUUAGAAAGGGCGCACGGUGGAUGCCUUGGCACUAGGAGCCGAAGAAGGACGGGACUAACACCGAUAUGCUUUGGGGAGCUGUACGUAAGCGUUGAUCCAGAGAUUUCCGAAUGGGGGAACCCACUAUCUUUAGUCGGAUAGUAUCCUUACGUGAAUACAUAGCGUAAGGAAGGCAGACCCAGGGAACUGAAACAUCUAAGUACCUGGAGGAAGAGAAAGAAAAAUCGAUUUCCUGAGUAGCGGCGAGCGAAACGGAAAGAGCCCAAACCAAGAAGCUUGCUUCUUGGGGUUGUAGGACACUCUAUACGGAGUUACAAAAGAAAGUUAUAAAUGAAGCGGUCUGGAAAGGCCCGCCAAAGACGGUAACAGCCCGGUAGUUGAAAUGGCUUUCCCUCCAGAGUGGAUCCUGAGUACGGCGGAACACGUGAAAUUCCGUCGGAAUCCGGGAGGACCAUCUCCCAAGGCUAAAUACUCCCUAGUGACCGAUAGUGAACCAGUACCGUGAGGGAAAGGUGAAAAGCACCCCGGAAGGGGAGUGAAACAGUUCCUGAAACCGUGUGCCUACAAGUAGUUAGAGCCCGUUAAUGGGUGAUAGCGUGCCUUUUGUAGAAUGAACCGGCGAGUUACGAUUUGUUGCAAGGUUAAGCGGAAAAAGCGGAGCCGUAGCGAAAGCGAGUCUGAAUAGGGCGCAUAAGUAACAGGUCGUAGACCCGAAACCAGGUGAUCUACCCAUGUCCAGGAUGAAGGUAAGGUAAUACUUACUGGAGGUCCGAACCCACGCACGUUGAAAAGUGCGGGGAUGAGGUGUGGGUAGCGGAGAAAUUCCAAUCGAACUUGGAGAUAGCUGGUUCUCUCCGAAAUAGCUUUAGGGCUAGCCUCGAGGUAAAGAGUCAUGGAGGUAGAGCACUGUUUGGACUAGGGGCCCUUCUCGGGUUACCGAAUUCAGAUAAACUCCGAAUGCCAUGUACUUAUACUCGGGAGUCAGACUGCGAGUGAUAAGAUCCGUAGUCGAAAGGGAAACAGCCCAGACCACCAGUUAAGGUCCCCAAAUAUAUGUUAAGUGGAAAAGGAUGUGGGGUUGCUUAGACAACCAGGAUGUUGGCUUAGAAGCAGCCACCAUUGAAAGAGUGCGUAAUAGCUCACUGGUCGAGUGACCCCGCGCCGAAAAUGUACCGGGGCUAAACAUAUUACCGAAACUGUGGAUGAACCUCUUCGGAGGUUCGUGGUAGGAGAGCGUUCUAAGGGCGGUGAA
RNAcentral lists this ribosomal RNA (1261 nucleotides) under Listeria monocytogenes. Its description in RNAcentral is "partial 23S ribosomal RNA". It matches the Rfam family "Bacterial large subunit ribosomal RNA", at positions 1 to 1254 of the family's 2925-position model. Lineage: Bacteria; Bacillati; Bacillota; Bacilli; Caryophanales; Listeriaceae. The record is from RNAcentral.